RNAcentral lists this ribosomal RNA (487 nucleotides) under Streptomyces umbrinus. RNAcentral's name for it is "bacterial SSU rRNA". It matches the Rfam family "Bacterial small subunit ribosomal RNA", at positions 97 to 598 of the family's 1533-position model. The record is from RNAcentral. Lineage: Bacteria; Bacillati; Actinomycetota; Actinomycetes; Kitasatosporales; Streptomycetaceae.
GGCGAACGGGUGAGUAACACGUGGGCAAUCUGCCCUUCACUCUGGGACAAGCCCUGGAAACGGGGUCUAAUACCGGAUGACACUCCUGCCCGCAUGGGUGGGGGUUGAAAGCUCCGGCGGUGAAGGAUGAGCCCGCGGCCUAUCAGCUUGUUGGUGAGGUAGAAGCUCACCAAGGCGACGACGGGUAGCCGGCCUGAGAGGGCGACCGGCCACACUGGGACUGAGACACGGCCCAGACUCCUACGGGAGGCAGCAGUGGGGAAUAUUGCACAAUGGGCGAAAGCCUGAUGCAGCGACGCCGCGUGAGGGAUGACGGCCUUCGGGUUGUAAACCUCUUUCAGCAGGGAAGAAGCGAAAGUGACGGUACCUGCAGAAGAAGCGCCGGCUAACUACGUGCCAGCAGCCGCGGUAAUACGUAGGGCGCAAGCGUUGUCCGGAAUUAUUGGGCGUAAAGAGCUCGUAGGCGGUCUGUCACGUCGGAUGUGAA